UCCUAAGGUUUUAUGUUUCUUUCCCAGACCCGCACCCUGCUGUCGCUCAGGCUUUGUUCCGAGUUCCCUGUCCGGACUCUCCUUCCUCCAAGCACAGACCAUGUGGCGCGACGCUGUCCUCCAGGCAGACCCCGCGGGGCCCCGCUCCUCCCGCCCCGACGUGAGUCCUGCUGGUGAACACGGCCGCCCUGCUCCGCUGCCGACUCACACUGCAGGUCGCGCUGCACGUUGAAGAAGAGGCACCUCCGUCGUCCUCUGCUGGGGAAAAUCCAGGCCCUGCGAGACUGGCUGACCCGCCUGGGGACACGAGGUCACGGCGGGAGGAGGUUGGGCUAAGCGGCCGAAAGCACCGAGCACCAGCUU
Eubalaena glacialis (North Atlantic right whale) is the source of this 363-nucleotide long non-coding RNA. RefSeq lists it as uncharacterized. The transcript has 3 exons. Lineage: Eukaryota; Metazoa; Chordata; Mammalia; Artiodactyla; Balaenidae. The record is from RefSeq and is a predicted model, not a curated record.